Molecule: long non-coding RNA, 334 nt
Filed under: Malus domestica (apple)
Lineage: Eukaryota; Viridiplantae; Streptophyta; Magnoliopsida; Rosales; Rosaceae
Description: long non-coding RNA (MDOM_LNC010599)
Source: RNAcentral
AUGUUAACGGCAUAGUUGGGGUUAAGCCACUUAGUCAUGAAGGCAAGUGUAUGCGCAACAAGGAAUCUCUAAUCCUCGAUAAGAGAGAAAGAAUACUCUAAGAUAUGAUUCGGGAAUCUUCGGCCGAAAUAUCGAGGGUAAUAAAGGAAAGCGUUCCUAUACGACUCAAUUGGAUCAUAUAAGAAGGAAUAAUCACAUUAGGGGUUUGACAUGAUAUAUCCAUACCCUAAUGAUGUGAUUGAGAGUAUUGUAUUAGAGAAUGAUUGAAUUACAUUGUAAUUCCAACUGACUAGGUUCUUCGAAUAAACUUCUACAUUAGCUUGGGUAGCUAUGA